CAGCCGCCGCGGGAAUACGUAGGGUGCGAGCGUUAAUCGGAAUUACUGGGCGUAAAGCGUGCGCAGGCGGUUCGUUAAGACAGAUGUGAAAUCCCCGGGCUUAACCUGGGAACUGCAUUUGUGACUGGCGAGCUAGAGUAUGGCAGAGGGGGGUAGAAUUCCACGUGUAGCAGUGAAAUGCGUAGAGAUGUGGAGGAAUACCGAUGGCGAAGGCAGCCCCCUGGGCCAAUACUGACGCUCAUGCACGAAAGCGUGGGGAGCAAACAGGAUUAGAUACCCCCGUAGUCCCUGUCUCUUAUAC
Molecule: ribosomal RNA, 301 nt
Filed under: uncultured bacterium
Lineage: Bacteria
Description: partial 16S ribosomal RNA
Rfam family: Bacterial small subunit ribosomal RNA
Source: RNAcentral